GGAGUUAGCCGGUGCUUCUUCUGUGAGUGAUGUCCUUCCUGCCGGUUAUUGACCCGCAGGCCUUCUUCCUCACUGAAAGUGCUUUACAACCCGAAGGCCUUCUUCACACACGCGGCAUGGCUGGAUCAGGGUUGCCCCCAUUGUCCAAUAUUCCCCACUGCUGCCUCCCGUAGGAGUCUGGGCCGUGUCUCAGUCCCAGUGUGGCUGAUCAUCCUCUCAGACCAGCUACGGAUCGUCGCCUUGGUGAGCCGUUACCUCACCAACCAGCUAAUCCGACAUAGGCUCAUCCGAUAGCGCGAGGCCCGAAGGUCCCCCGCUUUCCCCCGUAGGGCGUAUGCGGUAUUAGCCUGGGUUUCCCCAGGUUAUCCCCCACUACCGGGCAGAUUCCUAUGCAUUACUCACCCGUCCGCCGCUCGACACCAGGGAGCAAGCUCCCCGUGCUGCCGCUCGACUUGCAUGUGUUAGGCCUGCCGCCAGCGUUCAAUCUGAGCCAUGAUCAAACUCUGA
This 507-nucleotide ribosomal RNA is filed under the name uncultured bacterium. RNAcentral's name for it is "partial 16S ribosomal RNA". The record is from RNAcentral.